RNAcentral lists this ribosomal RNA (350 nucleotides) under uncultured bacterium. Its description in RNAcentral is "bacterial SSU rRNA". It matches the Rfam family "Bacterial small subunit ribosomal RNA", at positions 8 to 353 of the family's 1533-position model. The record is from RNAcentral.
AGAGUUUGAUCCUGGCUCAGGACGAACGCUGGCGGCACGCUUAACACAUGCAAGUCGAACGGAGAAUAUCGAAGCUUGCUUUGAUAUUCUUAGUGGCGGACGGGUGAGUAACACGUGAGUAACCUGCCUCUGAGAGUGGGAUAGCUUCUGGAAACGGAUGGUAAUACCGCAUGAAAUCAUAGUAUCGCAUGGUACAAUGAUCAAAGAUUUAUCGCUCAGAGAUGGACUCGCGUCUGAUUAGCUAGUUGGUAAGGUAACGGCUUACCAAGGCGACGAUCAGUAGCCGGACUGAGAGGUUGAUCGGCCACAUUGGGACUGAGACACGGCCCAGACUCCUACGGGAGGCAGCA